Cyprinus carpio (common carp) is the source of this 1280-nucleotide long non-coding RNA. RefSeq lists it as uncharacterized. The record is from RefSeq and is a predicted model, not a curated record. The transcript is spliced from 5 exons. Lineage: Eukaryota; Metazoa; Chordata; Actinopteri; Cypriniformes; Cyprinidae.
UCUAACCCAUGACCAUCUCUCCACCAAUCAGGUCUAACCCAUGACAGUCUCUCUCCACCAAUCAGGUCUAACCCAUGACCAUCUCUCCAUGUUACCAGUGAAUAUUCAGUCUCUUCACAGCACUUGUUCAGUGUGUCAGGAUGAAGACGAGAGAGGGGAACUAUGAGCAAGAUCAAUCUGGAUUGAGCCCAGAUAUUACAACCAAAACCCUCAAUGCAGGUGUCUAUAUCCAUCUAUUCUCUUCAGUAGAGAGUCAGACUGAGGAUGUUGUUGGGAAUUCUGUGCUUUUGUCCUGUUUUUACAGUGACAAUAAAAUAAAGUCAAGACAUGACAGUGUAUUGAGACACAAUGAGUGGGAAUAUAUAAGACAUUAUUCAGAAAAAUGAUUCACUUGAUCCAGAAUACAAUUUUUUUUUUUUCCAGAAGAAUUUAGAAAGAGAAACUUCAGCCGCAUACUCACCUGCUGCAUCAUCUGUAUAUUUGCUGUGCUGAUAAACAAAGUGUGUCUGCAGGUCACAGUAGAGGGUUUUAUUGGUGGUUCUGUUGUGCUGCCGUGUUCUUCAGAUAAACAUGAUCAUAAACUUCAAGACACUGAUGUGUUUUGGAGACACAAUAGCAGCAAAAUCGUAUUUGAUAUAAUUCCACACAGUAAUUCAACAGUGACACAGGAUCCAGAGUACAAGAACAGAGUUGAAACUUUCCCUCAGGAGUAUAUGAGAGGAAACUUCUCCAUCAAACUCAACAAUCUUCAACACACUGAUGCAGGACGAUACAUCUGUUACAUCUCACACUCAUCUAAAUAUCAGACUCUAAAGCUGAUCAUCAAUGGAUCAAUAUCCACUGAACGAGGAACAGAACAGGAGGAAAUGGUGCCAUCACUGCCUUUGCUCUUGGUUUGCAUUAUAUUACCUGUGAUGUUAUUUGUAGUGGUUGUUAUUUUUAUUGCAGUUUUCUGGAGAAAAAAAGCGCUCAUCAGCAGGGCAGCUGGAAACGGUGUGAGUUCAGCCACUCCUGAGGAUGUGAGCCCUUGUGCACAAUUUAAACCAGUAAAGGCUGAUAAUCAUGAUGAAGCAGUCGGUAAAUGAAAAACUGCUCUUUUACGCAGCAACUGCUUGAGCUUUUGCAUUAAAAAUGGAGUCAGAGGAGGUUGGUGCUUUCAUUGUUGUUGCCGCAGCUUCGGGUAGAAAAAUAAAAAUAAAGUCCAGUAAGCAAAGGAUUUGUUUGAAGAACAGAAAACAGCUAGAAUGAGUGUGUUUCAUAUCUUCCUUAUGUUCACUCUA